CCUACGGGAGGCAGCAGUGGGGGAUAUUGCACAAUGGGGGAAACCCUGAUGCAGCGACGCCGCGUGAGUGAAGAAGGAUUUCGGGAUGUAAAGCUCUAUCAGCAGGGAAGAAAAUGACAGUACCUGACCAAGAAGCGCCGGCUAACAACGUGCCAGCAGCCGCGGGAAUACGUAGGGGGCAAGCGUUAUCCGGAUUUACUGGGUGUAAAGGGAGCGUAGGCGGUUAUGUAAGUCUGGUGUGAAAGCCCGGGGCCCAACCCCGGGACUGCUGUGGAAACUGUGUAACUGGAGUACAGGAGAGGCAGGCGGAAUGCGUGGUGUAGCGGUGAAAUGCGUAGAUAUCAGGAAGAACACCGGCGGCGAAGGCGGCCUGCUGGACUAAAACUGACGUUGAGGCUCGAAAGCGUGGGGAGCAAACAGGAUUAGAUACCCUUGUAGUC
This 440-nucleotide ribosomal RNA is filed under the name uncultured bacterium. RNAcentral's name for it is "partial 16S ribosomal RNA". It matches the Rfam family "Bacterial small subunit ribosomal RNA", at positions 338 to 795 of the family's 1533-position model. The record is from RNAcentral.